GAGUUUGAUUAUGGCUCAGGAUGAACGCUGGCGGCGUGCUUAACACAUGCAAGUCGAACGAAGCUUAUAUAGGAAGAUCUUCGGAGCGGAACAUAUAAGACUUAGUGGCGGACGGGUGAGUAACGCGUGGGUAACCUGCCUUGUAGAGGGGGAUAACAGUGGGAAACUACUGCUAAUACCGCAUAAGACCACAGUAUCGCAUGAUACAGGGGUAAAAGAUUUAUCGCUACAAGAUGGACCCGCGUCUGAUUAGCUAGUUGGUGGGGUAAAGGCCUACCAAGGCGACGAUCAGUAGCCGACCUGAGAGGGUGACCGGCCACAUUGGGACUGAGACACGGCCCAAACUCCUACGGGAGGCAGCAGUGGGGAAUAUUGGACAAUGGGCGAAAGCCUGAUCCAGCGACGCCGCGUGAGUGAAGAAGUAUUUCGGUAUGUAAAGCUCUAUCAGCAGGGAAGAAAAUGACG
Molecule: ribosomal RNA, 465 nt
Filed under: Lachnospiraceae bacterium canine oral taxon 399
Lineage: Bacteria; Bacillati; Bacillota; Clostridia; Lachnospirales; Lachnospiraceae
Description: bacterial SSU rRNA
Rfam family: Bacterial small subunit ribosomal RNA
Source: RNAcentral